CACGUAGGGGGCGAGCGUUGUUCGGAAUUACUGGGCGUAAAGGGCAUGUAGGCGGCCCUUCAAGCCUGGCGUGAAAGACCGCAGCUCAACUGCGGGUAUGCGCUGGGAACUGGGGGGCUUGAGUUACGGAGAGGAAGCUGGAAUUCCUGGUGUAGGGGUGAAAUCUGUAGAGAUCAGGAAGAACACCGAUGGCGAAGGCAAGCUUCUGGCCGAUAACUGACGCUGAGGUGCGAAAGUGUGGGGAUCAAACAGGAUUAGAUACCCUGGUAGUCCACACGGUCAACGAUGUGCACUAGGUGCCGGGACGGUAGUUUCGGUGCCGGAGCGAACGCGGUAAGUGCACCGCCUGGGGAGUAUGCUCGCAAGGGUGAA
Molecule: ribosomal RNA, 372 nt
Filed under: uncultured bacterium
Lineage: Bacteria
Description: bacterial SSU rRNA
Rfam family: Bacterial small subunit ribosomal RNA
Source: RNAcentral